Non-coding RNA from Taeniopygia guttata (zebra finch), 8871 nucleotides. Lineage: Eukaryota; Metazoa; Chordata; Aves; Passeriformes; Estrildidae. The record is from RefSeq and is a predicted model, not a curated record.
CCGGUGCGAGCCCGGUGCGAGCCCGGUGCGAGCCCGUCCCCGGUGUGAGCCCGUCCCUGGUGCGAGCCUGUCCCCGGUGUGAGCCUGUCCCCGGUGUGAGCCUGAUGUGAGCCCGUCCCCGGUGUGAGCCCGUCCCCGGUGUGAGCCCUCCCGGCCCGGGGAUCCGGCCCCGGGGAUCCCAGCGCCGGUGCCCGCCGCAGUCUCGCCGCUCGGGAUGGCCUGUGUGAAGAGGCUGGGCGGGCACCCGAGAGGAACGGGAGACACCGCUGCGUUCCAGGUGCUGCUUUUAAAGUCCGGGCAAAGUGAACAGAGAGCAUUGCAGGCGGGUGAAUAAAAUAAAAGCGUCCGCUGGGUGCUCCUGGAAAAGUGCUCGACUCCCUUCCUUAAAAAAUUCAUCACAUUCGACUCUCGCCAGCUCUUGGCCCAAAGGGAGCAGCGGAAUUGCAAACCGGGAGAAGCAGCAGGCUUGAACUGAAUUGGCCUUUGGGUCUCAGUUUACAGGGAUAUCGGAACUCACAGCAAUGAAAAAAUGAACGUGGAUAAUAAAGGGGCGCAAAGCCCUGUAGUGAGGGGUUGCUGGGAGGGCAGGAUGCGAGUCCCUUGACAGGAGGAGCUGGCUGGGCUGAGCUGGGCCGGGCUGGGCUGAGCUGGGCUGGGCUGGGGCGGCCGCAGUGCCGGGGAACAGGCGGACACCGCCGGCAGCGACGCGCUCGGUCCCUGUUGCAGCUGUCGCUGCUCAGCCGGGUGGUGUCCCAAACUUCUUCCCUGCGAGCUUUUCCGCACAGGCACAGAUGUCCUGUGGCUACUGCCUCUCGGGGUUUGAUUCGAAGUGUCCCGUUUUCCUAGCCAGUUCCAGCAUUAGUGAAUGGAACAAAAAUGAGUGGUUUGUAUAAUAGUGUUGUUAUUAAAAAUUGUAUUUUAAAAUACCCACUUGGAGAGUGAAUGCAUCACUGAGUACACCAAAUUGCCUGACAAGUUACUUGCAGCAGACUGUUACAGAGGGGUGUGUGUCAAUAGGGCAAAAAGUUCGUUUAAUCCUAGACAUUGAAAUAAAAUUAAUUCUCUGUGAGAUUUCUGUAAUACCAGUUUCUCCCAAUCAAAAGAGCAUGUUCCUGGAUGCUGAUGGAUUAACUUCUACCUUGAUCUUACAGGGGUUUGUACAGCAUAUUUUAUAUGAACAUAAUAAAUUCAAACUGAUUUUUUUAAAGAAUCCAGCAAUAGAGUGUAGACAUAGACAUGGAUGUUCUUCAGUACCUAUGGCCUUCCAGGGAGCCAAAUUUCUGGCUUGCAUCAUCCCUUUAAAUCCGUUGUCACGGCUCACAGGCUUCAAUUCUUCACAAAACUGUGUGGAAAUCGCCCCGCUGCUGCCACGUCCUCCUGGCGAUGAUGCACGGGCAGCUUGCAGCUGUUUUCUCCGCAGUCCCAAGCGGCGAAGGCCGCUCGGCGAGGCAGCCGGGGGGGUUUGCUGUGGAUUCCCGUUCCGUGGAUUCCCGUGCUGUGGAUUCCCGUUCCACGGAAUCCCGCGGACUCGCCGCUCCCCCCGCGCCGCGCCGACCGCGGGGCCCCAGCGCCCUCUCGCGGCAGCUCCGCGCCCUGCACCGCCCCGCGCCCGCGCCUGCGCCCUGCGGCUCCGCGGCUGGAAAAACCACCGCUGGAAAAACUACCGCUGGAAAAACCCACCUCUGCGGCGGCAGCAGGAGAAGCUGCGACUGCUUCACCUGGCGUGAGAGGUGCUGCUUAAAUAUACUUCUGAUUCCGCUUGUAUUUGACUUUUGAAUCAUGACUGGGUGUUUGGUUUUGUCUUUUCAGGAGCAAAGUGUUUUGUUAAAUAGAAAAAGGAUUAAUGCAAAUGAGCAGUUACGUAUAUUGACUCAUCUGUGCUGUGCCACCGAAGGCAGGUAAAUAAGCAGUUUGUUCAUUUCAAAGCACACGGCUCUAUUGUUGCCCAGAGUGCUGCUUAACUCUUUAAAGGCUUCCAAGCAGGGUGACCUCAUCCAAAUUGUCUGCUGGUUCCAGCUUCCAAAUUGUGCAAAGGAAUUACUCCACAAAUGUCCAGCUAGCUCAAGUUAAGUCCACAGCAUGAAUUUUUCUUGUAACUGAGCAGUAUACAUAUAUUUGCAGCACCCAGUUAUGGUCUGCGCCAUGACUUAAUGGCUCAUGCUUAAUUUUCAAGUCUCACGUAUCUAGUCUUCCACACAGUUGCACUGAAAGCAAAGUGCCUGAUGUUUCAUCUCUCACCUUGCAAGACAGACUUCAGCAAAGGCUAUGUAACUCCUUGACCAAGGCUUUCAAAUGCUUUAUAAGUCUUUUUCCCAGAAGCUUUAUAUCAUGAGACUCAGCCCUGUGACCAACUCAGGCUGAGCUCACACCCCAUUUCACUGUCCUGGGGUGCACUCCAGCAACAUCCUCUGUGGGGAACAUCUCAGUCAAUGUGGCUAUUACACAUCUGUAAUUAGUGAAUAUAUCCAGCUCAUGUAUUUUAGGGCUGAAUUUUAACUGACAUUGUAGCUUUUAUAUUUUCUGCAUGAAUCUGCAUGAUAUAAACUGUAGUUCUUUAUGCAAGCUGAAUCUUCACUUCUAGUUAUCUGUUCUAGUGCAAAAUGUGCACUCUCUAAGCAUACUGUUAGUUCUGCUGCACCACAUACAUCUGUAUGAUUGAGGAAGAAAGCAUGAAGUAGGACAAAGAAGACAUCACUUGUUUGUUUUUAUUGCUUGUGCGGAUGGUUUUGAGAUUAAAACUCAGAUUUUGGGUUUUUGGGUUUUGUUUGGGUUCUUUUGGGGUUUUUUGUUUGUUUGGUUGGUUGGUUUUGUGUUUGUUUGUUUGGUUGGUUUGGUUUGUUGGGGUUUUUUUUAAUCCAGGUGGCAUUUUUUUGGUUGAGAAUAAAUUCCUGUCAAUUACUGGUGAUUGUUUCCAGAUUAUAUUCCCCCCCUCCCACCCCCCGCUCUUCUUCUAAGCAGAUUUUCUAAAGGGCAUGUCUGUAACUCAGAUACGUUGUGUUCAGGUGUAAAUCUGUACCAAAAGCAUGAAAGCUCAGUGGGGAAGGCAAUCUUUCUCCUUUCUGUCAAUAAGUAGGCAAGUAAGUACAUUGCCUGCUGCGGCAUAACAUGCUGAGGGAGCCACGUGUCCCCUAAUGGCACACCAAGUCCUGCGUGCUGGCUUCUAAUGCCAGCAUCAGGCAUCCUGCAGACCUCAUGCAGGCAAAGCUUCUCAGCAAAGUGAGGAAGGCAAGAGGCAGUGCAACAUGAGCAGGUCACAGGCUAGUGUGGAAAAGCUCUGGGUAGAUGUGAGAGAAUGGGCAGAAAUGGUAUCUGUCCCCCUAAGAGAAGAGCUUCUGGCACAUUUAGGAACCAGACCUUGCUGUGUGUCACCACAGGUCCAUUGCUUUUCAGCCGUUCCUGGAGGAAUGCAGAGUUUAACUCUCAGAGCCAGGAUCAGCACCCUCAGCAGGCAAUCCAGACUGAUCUGCCUAGAAACUGGAAUGCCAAGGCACAGCAGGAGAAGGUGAAAUGACCUGUGUGUUUUCAUACAGAUGCUUAUGCGAAGUACAGUGCACAUGAAAGCUCACCAGCCAAAAAAAAUGCUUUCAUGACGAAAUAGCUGUAUAGGAUCCACUGGCAUUGUUCUUCCAGAGAAUAAGAGAGGUCAGUUAGAAGCUGUUUGUUUUGAUUUUUUCCAGUUCUUAUAGCAAGACUGUAAAAUUCAAACUUUAAUAGGACUCAGGAAAUAUGGGUUGCCUGAGUAAAAUUAUACCACUACAGUCAGUACAUUAAAGUGACCUUUUGUCUCCAGCUGAGUUCAAAUUAAAUAAAAACAAGUGCCUCAUCCUUAGGCAAGAAUUUUUCGACCUACAGUGCCUCAUCUCAGUUGAAGAACUCUUCUGUAGCUUAAUGAAAUAAAUGAGCUGACCAUAUAACUCUUAUGGAUACUCACGAUGUUACAUGUCUACAUCACCAAUGAUGCCUUUGGAAACAGUUCUCUCUGCAGAGAGACCAAACUUGUUACCCUCUGGUUCCCUUUGUUCUCAGUUUUUACUGACUGCAGACACCUUGCUGUCUUGGUCUACCAGGAAAACUAGUAAAAAUUGCUUGUCCAAUGCCAGGAUAGCAGGGAAUUCAGUCUCUCUAUCUGGAGUUUAAAAAAUAUCCUGAACAGUGGGAAGUUAUUUGUUUUUAGGCUCUCCAGUGAAUGUACUUCAUUCCACUAUUUUCAGGAUGCUCAGACUCUGGAAAAGGCUGCCCACAGAAACUGUGGAGUCUCCAUCCUUGGGCAUAUUCAAAACCCAACUGGACACUGUCCUGAGCAACCUGCUGUAGUUGAUCCUGCUCUGAGCAGGGCAGGGUGGAGUAGAUAACCCCUCCUCACCUCAUCCAUUCUUUGAUUCUGCAGUUCAUUUGUCUGUGAUGCCUCAGCAGAUCUGAAAAGUGAUGUUUGGAGGGUCUCUCUUGCAGGUCUACUCCUGUUUCACACUCCAGCACUGUCAGCCCACAUUCCACCAGGGAGUUUGGCACACUCAGUUCUGAAGUGCUCGCACAGGAUGAGUCUUUUGCAAUAGGAACAAGGAAACUUCUGAAGUAAGCAUGUGAUUUAUUAAUGAUUUGUGUAAUUUCCACUUUAUUGGCAGUAGAUUUCUUUAAAAAGCAAUGAUGUCAUAUGGUUCUCCAUGUAGAUUUAUUUGCUGUAUUAAGAUACAUUAACCUAUUCCUUUAAUUACUGUGGUCUUCAUGGUGGUCUUUGAAGUGUGGUAGUCAUUUCUCUCUGUAGGGGAAACUGUGACCUGAGGAAGCUGAGGCAGCAACAAUAUUAGAAGAAACUGCUCUGAGGGAAGGUGGUUGAUGCUGGCAAUUACUAUCCUGAGAAAAUUAGCUGUAGCUGGAGAUCACCCCUGUGGUAAAAUAUGCUUCAUCUUUGCUCUGUGCCAUGAACACCUUCCCAAGUCCUGUGAGCCAAUGCUGACACUACUGACACAGAGAUAGAAGUGGAAGAGAUGAUUCUUGGAUGUGGAUUCUUCAUUCUCUUGGAUGUGUCAGUGAAGGAUAAAGUGAGUUACUGAAAUCUCUGCCCAGAGUUCCACAAGGAUGUAGACAUCUACAGAUAUUACUUUUAUGUGCUUCUUCAUGGACACGAUUGGCUUACAGCAAAACAUCCUUGAUUUUUGGGUUCUGGAAAUCAAAGUGUUCUGCCUCACAGUACCUAUUAUUCCAGUGACUGCCAAGAUAGAACUAAGGUAUUAAGAAUAAAUUACUCCAGGCAAGGAGACAAUUAACACUACAGAAGGAAAAGCUUAGGAUGCCAGCAUUGGGGCAUAUGCUUACCUGGGCUGUUCUACCAAGACAAAAGAAGGUGAUGAUAGAGGCCUGGAGAUCAUUUACCAAGUGCAUUACGUGAGGAAAGGAGGACAAAAAAAACCACUACAGGCACUGCCAAAUUUUGUGAGAAGGGAACAUUAUUUUGUGGUUGGAUUUCAUCAUAUAGAAAGGUAAGCAGAUAUCUUUGUUGCUGUUGUGUUUGUGUUUAUAUGUUAUAAGAGGAAAACAUCACUUAUCUGCAAAGCAUCACACUUGAAAACUGGAUUUAUUUCUUUCUCCACCUCCAAUACAGGCUGAAGAGAGCAAUUCUAAGUUUGAGAUGUUGAACCAGUCCUGAGAAAUGGAAACGAGCAAGCUACCAUUCUCCAUGGAAGGUUUUUGUUCAAGGGAGUUACACAGAGGCUAGGACAGAAAAACCAGCACUACUGGGACAAGCACAAGAACUUGUAUUUUAGUGAAUCUAAUCCCAGGUUCCUGGUAGUAAGACUCAGUGGCAAACAACUGUGCUGACAAAGUUUCCUUCCAUACACUUCCUUGAAGGGUGUCCUUAGGGAAGUGUGUCACACACAAGUAUCCAAUAGUCUGCUGUCUAAUAGGAGUGGGUUUCUGACUGGCAGAGCAGGUCUGCCUUCCUCUAGGAUUCAUUUGUAAAGCUGGCCCAAGCUUGGUUCCAUAUAUGCAUCAGGAAUGCAAUGUAUAGCAUAAAGUACGAUGGAGGCAGUGCUAUCUCCACCUCUUCUUCAGGCACAGGUGAAUAAACUGGGGUAAACCAGCCUAGGAUCUGGGGUAGGAUAGUCCAGUUCAUUAUUGAAUUCCUACCUUAAAAGUAAAGAAAAAGACUAGACUUCUAUUUCUACACCUCUUUGUUCUUAUCAUCUGAAUGUAUGGUAAAUUUUUCUGUCUUUCUGUAGCACUUGCAGGAAGAGGACAUAAAGAAGAGGGAAUGCCAGCAACCAUGCUGUCAACUUUGCAAGUCAUUAACAAUCUGGAAAGAGACUGAGAAGUACCGUCAACCUAAGCAGAACAUUUCAGAGAGGCACAGAGAUGGACCAAAAUGUAAAGAUUUUGGGUGCAAAUCCCCAUUCCUCCCUUCUGAGAAGCAGUGAGUCCUGGCAGCCCAAAGAAUUGAGUUAUGAAGUGAGAUUAAAGGCACAAGGCUGGAAGCAGGCAAGUAAUGUGCAGGGUUCGAAGACACAUGCUGAAACACAGAAAUGGACAGAGAAAUAUUCUAAGGAAAACCCCUUCUGCUCCUGAAGUAAAGGUACCGCUCUGAGUGCAACUGUCAUGAACCAGGAGAACAUGGAAGUCUGUCACUUUGUUUUGCUGCCUUCCUUGAUGCUGGUGUCAUCACUCUGGCAGCCUGGUUAAAGUUUCCCAGGAGGAAACAAAAUGAGAAAUUUUGUUUCCUCCUGGGAAAAGACAAAGACAAAAUUUCUAAACAAAGACAAACUUCUAAACUGAUUAUGCACCUGGAGCUGUACACUUUGCAAAUGAGCUUUUCCAGGUGAGAGACCUACCAAAAUACACCAUAAGAUUUUUUUCUUACCCACUCUUCCUACCAUUAUUUGUUUAUUGAUGAUAUGAUGGGUAGAAAUUUUGGGGCUGGCCAAGUAUUCAGUAUUGGAUGAAUUGCUGCUUUCCCUCUGCGUCACUUUUUGGUAGCAGUUUGAAGUCCAGAAUCACACUGUGCCAUAACAACAAAUGCUUCAAAGAUGACAUUUCCAAAAAGUACCUUUCUUCCAAAAAUUUCUGAGUGCUUUUCAACAUGAAUUACCAGCCCAUCUCUUGGUGAUAAGUAGGUGUUAUUUCCAUCUUCAAACUGAGAAACUUAAACUGCUGCCUUAAGUAACUGUGAAUCAUCUAUUUCCUGGAGCUUUCUUUUUCUUGUUUUCCAUGCCCUUUCCCUUUUGUCUCCUAGGCCAUUCUUAACCUCAAUUUCUUCUCCCUUCUGUCUAUAAUAAUCCCCUCGAUGCCACCUGAUGUUGUACCCAAACUUUAAAACUCUCCUACCGCCGUCCCUGCAGGCGACUUGGGCGUGCCCGUGUGCUGUGGGAAGUGCUCUCCUGCUUCAGGUAGUAGCAUCAAUUGAGCCUUUCAAAGAGCUGUAUUUAUGUAGAUAGGUUUCAAUUGUUAUUUCCAUGCAGUAUGUGCAUGUGUGGGUGGGGAGGAUUAGUCUGCAGAUAAGUUAAAGAGCACAGGUGUCUCAGGUGCCUCCGAGGUGGAGCGCUGAACUGGAGAGAGGCACUUUUGCAAAGAUUCUGAGCACUUACUGCUCCCCCUGCUCGGAAAGUUCGGGCCACUUGGGUGAAUCAGAGCUCAGCUGAUGCUUUGUAAGACACUGGGCAGCAUAUUGGCUGAUGUCUGUUUUCAGUCUAAAUAAACAAGUGCUUUCCUCCAGAACGGUGGUUUGUUCAAGAUAAGGGUAACUGGUUUCACUCUCAGUAUUCACUGAACAUAUCUCCGAAUAAAACUGUUGUUACACUGACCUUAGUUUCUGUUUCUUAACGUUAAUCUCUUUAUUGGUAUUUUUAAUGGGAAAUAGAAAGUUGGCAAUCUGUUUCCAUUUUUUACUCCUCUGCAACUGGAAAAAAAGAAACUCAGGGGAGGUUUUUAAUAAUCUUGUCUUAACCUGUAUAAAUUCAAGUUUUUGCCACUUCUAUCAAAAAAUCAACGAUCUCCCUCUGUAUCUGUCUCAGAGCACUUUUUUCAAAAGAUGUUUACUAUGUGGCUAAGAAAUUGAUUUGGCUGGAGUCCAUAUUUAAGGGCAUCUGUCUCCCAAGAGAAAUACAGGCUGGAUAGUUUCCUGUUCUGUAUUUUAGCAUUGUUCUGUGAUCCAGCAGUCAGUGUAUUAUCCUGAGGCAUCUGUAUCCGGGGUUGCUUCUCUAUUCCACCGCAGGCUAUGUCUGCAUGGCUGUACACAUGAGGAUGUGCAUGUCUGCACUGCCAAGUAGCUGGAAAGAAGCAAUACCCCAUGGCAGCAGGGUGCUGGUUCAGCUUUCCCACUCAGGAAUGUGUCCCAGGAUCCUGUGCAGACCCCAGUGCAGGAACACCUGGCAGGUGAUACUGGGCUCCUACCCACAGGCCUGCCUGCAUGGGUGUUGCACUCACUCAUGGAAGAGCUCAGACAUUAGCUGUGAGAGUCAAAGUGCUCUCCUCUAAUUUAAAUCAUGCUGCUAGUGUUGGACAGGAAAGGAGAAGAAAGAGAGAAAGAGGAAACUGUUUUAUUAACCUUUUUCUUUUUUACUUUCAUGUAUUUAAAUAUUAAACAUGAAUAUUUAUUAGGAAAAUAAAAAACAAAGGAAAGAAGCAUUAUGGAACAGAAGAUGGAAAUUAAAUGAAAUUCAUAUAUCAUUCAACAGGGCCAUUUCUGAGAUGAAAAACACUAUUUGCUCCCCAUCACCACAGUUGUCCAAUUGAAACAGCAGGGGAACUCAUACUAUAUUAGGUGAAUAUGAUGUUAUACAGUACAAUUUGGGAUUUCAGUGAAGCAAAUAUGCAAAUAAAUGAUAUUGAUGUAUUCACUAGAAAUAAGAAUUAAUAAAUAAAGUCAGAACAUAACAAUAA